This 500-nucleotide ribosomal RNA is filed under the name uncultured bacterium. Its description in RNAcentral is "partial 16S ribosomal RNA". It matches the Rfam family "Bacterial small subunit ribosomal RNA", at positions 30 to 523 of the family's 1533-position model. The record is from RNAcentral.
AUUGAACGCUGGCGGCAUGCCUUACACAUGCAAGUCGAACGGCAGCACGGGAGCAAUCCUGGUGGCGAGUGGCGAACGGGUGAGUAAAGUAUCGGAACGUGCCCAGUCGUGGGGGAUAACGUAGCGAAAGUUACGCUAAUACCGCAUACGAUCUAUGGAUGAAAGCGGGGGGUCGCAAGACCUCGCGCGAUUGGAGCGGCCGAUAUCAGAUUAGGUAGUUGGUGGGGUAAAGGCUAACCAAGCCGACGGUCUGUAGCUGGUCUGAGAGGACGACCAGCCACACUGGGACUGAGACACGGCCCAGACUCCUACGGGAGGCAGCAGUGGGGAAUUUUGGACAAUGGGCGAAAGCCUGAUCCAGCCAUGCCGCGUGCAGGAUGAAGGCCUUCGGGUUGUAAACUGCUUUUGUACGGAACGAAAAGGUUUGGCCUAAUAAGCUGAGCUCAUGACGGUACCGUAAGAAUAAGCACCGGCUAACUACGUGCCAGCAGCCGCGGUAA